This 549-nucleotide ribosomal RNA is filed under the name Fusarium culmorum. RNAcentral's name for it is "eukaryotic LSU rRNA". The stretch from base 179 to 332 matches the Rfam family "5.8S ribosomal RNA". Lineage: Eukaryota; Fungi; Ascomycota; Sordariomycetes; Hypocreales; Nectriaceae. The record is from RNAcentral.
UCGAUUGGCUGACAGCGGAGGGAUCAUUACCGAGUUUACAACUCCCAAACCCCUGUGAACAUACCUAUACGUUGCCUCGGCGGAUCAGCCCGCGCCCCGUAAAACGGGACGGCCCGCCCGAGGACCCCUAAACUCUGUUUUUAGUGGAACUUCUGAGUAAAACAAACAAAUAAAUCAAAACUUUCAACAACGGAUCUCUUGGUUCUGGCAUCGAUGAAGAACGCAGCAAAAUGCGAUAAGUAAUGUGAAUUGCAGAAUUCAGUGAAUCAUCGAAUCUUUGAACGCACAUUGCGCCCGCCAGUAUUCUGGCGGGCAUGCCUGUUCGAGCGUCAUUUCAACCCUCAAGCUCAGCUUGGUGUUGGGACUCGCGGUAACCCGCGUUCCCCAAAUCGAUUGGCGGUCACGUCGAGCUUCCAUAGCGUAGUAAUCAUACACCUCGUUACUGGUAAUCGUCGCGGCCACGCCGUUAAACCCCAACUUCUGAAUGUUGACCUCGGAUCAGGUAGGAAUACCCGCUGAACUUAAGCAUAUCAAGGCCCCGGAGAGAAA